Non-coding RNA from Myotis brandtii (Brandt's bat), 75 nucleotides. NCBI's taxonomy places the organism in Eukaryota, Metazoa, Chordata, Mammalia, Chiroptera, Vespertilionidae. The record is from Rfam.
GAUGGUUCUUGGGUGACGCACCGCAGAAUUGGGCUCCUACCUCUCUGGUUCCGGGUGUGUCACCCGAGAACCGCA